RNAcentral lists this ribosomal RNA (725 nucleotides) under uncultured fungus. RNAcentral's name for it is "SSU rRNA". It matches the Rfam family "Eukaryotic small subunit ribosomal RNA", at positions 334 to 1063 of the family's 1831-position model. The record is from RNAcentral. Lineage: Eukaryota; Fungi.
UAGAGGCCUACCAUGGUGGUUACGGGUAACGGGGUGUUAGGGCACGACACCGGAGAGGGAGCCUGAGAAACGGCUACCACAUCCAAGGAUGGCAGCAGGCGCGCAAAUUACCCAAUCCCGACAUGGGGAGGUAGUGACAAUAAAUAACAAUACGGGGUUCUUUCGGAUCUCGUAAUUGGAAUGAGUACAAUUUAAAUCUCUUAACGAGGAACAAUUGGAGGGCAAGUCUGGUGCCAGCAGCCGCGGUAAUUCCAGCUCCAAUAGCGUAUAUUAAAGUUGCUGCAGUUAAAAAGCUCGUAGUUGAAUUUCGGGGUUAGUAGGUUGGUCAUGCCUCUGGUAUGUACUGGUCUCACUGAUUCCUCCUUCCUUAUGAACCGUAAUGCCAUUAAUUUGGUGUUGCGGGGAAUUUGGACUGUUACUUUGAAAAAAUUAGAGUGUUUAAAGCAAGCUAACGCUUGAAUACAUUAGCAUGGAAUAAUGAAAUAGGACGUUCGAUCUUAUUUUGUUGGUUUCUAGGAUUGACGUAAUGAUUAAUAGGGAUAGUUGGGGGCAUUAGUAUUCAAUUGUCAGAGGUGAAAUUCUUGGAUUUAUUGAAGACCAACUACUGCGAAAGCAUUUGCCAAGGAUGUUUUCAUUAAUCAAGAACGAAAGUUAGGGGAUCGAAGACGAUCAGAUACCGUCGUAGUCUUAACCAUAAACUAUGCCGACUAGGGAUCGGAUGAUGU